Molecule: ribosomal RNA, 473 nt
Filed under: uncultured organism
Description: partial 16S ribosomal RNA
Rfam family: Bacterial small subunit ribosomal RNA
Source: RNAcentral
CACUCCUGCGGGAGGCAGCAGUAGGGAAUCUUCGGCAAUGGACGAAAGUCUGACCGAGCAACGCCGCGUGAGUGAAGAAGGUUUUCGGAUCGUAAAACUCUGUUGUUAGAGAAGAACAAGGAUGAGAGUAGAACGUUCAUCCCUUGACGGUAUCUAACCAGAAAGCCACGGCUAACUACGUGCCAGCAGCCACGGUAAUACGUAGGUGGCAAGCGUUGUCCGGAUUUAUUGGGCGUAAAGCGAGCGCAGGCGGUUUCUUAAGUCUGAUGUGAAAGCCCCCGGCUCAACCGGGGAGGGUCAUUGGAAACUGGGAGACUUGAGUGCAGAAGAGGAGAGUGGAAUUCCAUGUGUAGCGGUGAAAUGCGUAGAUAUAUGGAGGAACACCAGUGGCGAAGGCGGCUCUCUGGUCUGUAACUGACGCUGAGGCUCGAAAGCGUGGGGAGCGAACAGGAUUAGAAACCCGUGUAGUCCCA